Molecule: ribosomal RNA, 1548 nt
Filed under: Klebsiella aerogenes
Lineage: Bacteria; Pseudomonadati; Pseudomonadota; Gammaproteobacteria; Enterobacterales; Enterobacteriaceae
Description: 16S ribosomal RNA
Rfam family: Bacterial small subunit ribosomal RNA
Source: RNAcentral
AAAUUGAAGAGUUUGAUCAUGGCUCAGAUUGAACGCUGGCGGCAGGCCUAACACAUGCAAGUCGAGCGGUAGCACAGAGAGCUUGCUCUCGGGUGACGAGCGGCGGACGGGUGAGUAAUGUCUGGGAAACUGCCUGAUGGAGGGGGAUAACUACUGGAAACGGUAGCUAAUACCGCAUAACGUCGCAAGACCAAAGUGGGGGACCUUCGGGCCUCAUGCCAUCAGAUGUGCCCAGAUGGGAUUAGCUAGUAGGUGGGGUAAUGGCUCACCUAGGCGACGAUCCCUAGCUGGUCUGAGAGGAUGACCAGCCACACUGGAACUGAGACACGGUCCAGACUCCUACGGGAGGCAGCAGUGGGGAAUAUUGCACAAUGGGCGCAAGCCUGAUGCAGCCAUGCCGCGUGUAUGAAGAAGGCCUUCGGGUUGUAAAGUACUUUCAGCGAGGAGGAAGGCGUUAAGGUUAAUAACCUUGGCGAUUGACGUUACUCGCAGAAGAAGCACCGGCUAACUCCGUGCCAGCAGCCGCGGUAAUACGGAGGGUGCAAGCGUUAAUCGGAAUUACUGGGCGUAAAGCGCACGCAGGCGGUCUGUCAAGUCGGAUGUGAAAUCCCGGGCUCAACCUGGGAACUGCAUUCGAAACUGGCAGGCUAGAGUCUUGUAGAGGGGGUAGAAUUCCAGGUGUAGCGGUGAAAUGCGUAGAGAUCUGGAGGAAUACCGGUGGCGAAGGCGGCCCCCUGGACAAAGACUGACGCUCAGGUGCGAAAGCGUGGGGAGCAAACAGGAUUAGAUACCCUGGUAGUCCACGCCGUAAACGAUGUCGACUUGGAGGUUGUGCCCUUGAGGCGUGGCUUCCGGAGCUAACGCGUUAAGUCGACCGCCUGGGGAGUACGGCCGCAAGGUUAAAACUCAAAUGAAUUGACGGGGGCCCGCACAAGCGGUGGAGCAUGUGGUUUAAUUCGAUGCAACGCGAAGAACCUUACCUACUCUUGACAUCCAGAGAACUUAGCAGAGAUGCUUUGGUGCCUUCGGGAACUCUGAGACAGGUGCUGCAUGGCUGUCGUCAGCUCGUGUUGUGAAAUGUUGGGUUAAGUCCCGCAACGAGCGCAACCCUUAUCCUUUGUUGCCAGCGGUCCGGCCGGGAACUCAAAGGAGACUGCCAGUGAUAAACUGGAGGAAGGUGGGGAUGACGUCAAGUCAUCAUGGCCCUUACGAGUAGGGCUACACACGUGCUACAAUGGCAUAUACAAAGAGAAGCGACCUCGCGAGAGCAAGCGGACCUCAUAAAGUAUGUCGUAGUCCGGAUUGGAGUCUGCAACUCGACUCCAUGAAGUCGGAAUCGCUAGUAAUCGUAGAUCAGAAUGCUACGGUGAAUACGUUCCCGGGCCUUGUACACACCGCCCGUCACACCAUGGGAGUGGGUUGCAAAAGAAGUAGGUAGCUUAACCUUCGGGAGGGCGCUUACCACUUUGUGAUUCAUGACUGGGGUGAAGUCGUAACAAGGUAACCGUAGGGGAACCUGCGGUUGGAUCACCUCCUUACCUUAAAGAA